Long non-coding RNA from Penaeus monodon (black tiger shrimp), 289 nucleotides. RefSeq lists it as uncharacterized. The record is from RefSeq and is a predicted model, not a curated record. The transcript has 2 exons. Lineage: Eukaryota; Metazoa; Arthropoda; Malacostraca; Decapoda; Penaeidae.
UCGCUCAUUCCCAUCAUCCCACCCUCGUCAAUACACAUUCGGGAUUUCGGUCUUCCAUGCCUCCUCCUACUCCUCCAAAACCUCCUGCACAUUCGCAGCACCCAUGAGUAGCACAAUAGCCCCUAUACCUUAGGAGGAGUUCCCCCUCCACCCCCCCGCCCCCACCUCCUCUACCUACCUCGACCGCCAAACCUAGUUUAGCAGCAGCCCUUAGUAAGGAAUUGGAGCGACGCAGUGCCCAAGAGGCACAGUCAGGUGCAAGUGAAGAUGCAAAAGCUCAAUUUUUCAG